CUCCACUAACGUUGAAAUAAUCAAGAACCAACUAGUCACCUAGACCCAAGCUAGAUAGAAACCCCAAGUCCAAGUGUAACCAUCAGAUACCAGACCCUGAGAGUUAUGUGUUAGUUAACUCUAGUGACUUAUAAUAAAGUUUAACAUAUUGUCAUUACAAUUCAAUCUAUUAUGACAAAUAAACGAUACUAAUUAUAUAAUUUUUAAAUAUAUCACAAGUGUUAAAUAUCAUCAUCAGUUAUCUAUUCUUUUAAUUUAUUAAUCAACUUUAAAACAGAUGUGAAGAAAUUCACUCUCAAAACAAGAAACAAUUCUCUGAGUUUAAAUUUUAUCUUAUCAAUCUCAUUAUUGAAUCUCAUACUAUAUUUAUAAAAAAAAUAAGAGAAACAACAUAUAGUUCUAAUAAAUUUUGGACAACCUAAUAGACAGUAAUAGAUGACGAAAUAAAUAAAAUUAGGAAAUUAAUUGUUAACAUUUCCUCUCAUAACUCAUUAAUCUUCUUAUCAAUAUGAUUUUUGAGGUUACAAUAACGAUUUAACGUCGAUUUCGAUAUAACGUUUUUAUCCAAUAUACCAAAAUAUCAGAUAAAAUAAAAUUAACAAUUCAUAAAUCAUAACAACUCAUUAAAUCAUAAAACUAUCAAAAAAAUGAUAAACGAAAAAAAGAGUAAAAAUAACGAUUUAAAAAUAAACUUCAAAAACUGAAAACUAUUAAUUCGUUAAUCAAUAGAUUUAUGCAAUAAACACAGUAAAGCUACAAGAUUAGUUAAAUAAAAAAUCAUAAGAUCCAAUAAAUUUAUCUUCUUACGAAUGCUAUAUUAUAGAUAAAAUAUCAGCAAUAAAAUGUAAUAAAAAAACUGAACAUAAAAAGAACAAAGAAAUCUUUGAAUAGUUCUCAGUAAGAUGGCACAGUUUUUCCACAUGAGAAAGACAAGUCUGAGAGUCCAUCAAAAGUCAAAUAAAGAAAUCGAUCGGUAAUCCAUUCACAAAACUCACCAUAGCUUCAGAGAACCGAGAUCAUACAGAUCAAACAGGAUCCGUCGGGAUCUCAAUACACAGAAGCAACGGAUCUCCAGACGAAGUAGAUGGAAAACCAAAUCGACUACAACAGAUAAACUCCCUCGCACGCUUCCAUUUUCAGUGUGGUUAAAGCAAAUCAAUCAUCAUCGAACUCGACAAAUAUAAAAAAAAAAUCAAACGAAAUUAGGAAAAAAAAACUAUACAGAAAAGCAAACAAAGAAAGCCUUUAGAGUAAAAUUAGGAGGAUGGUUCUUACGCCGCCGGCAACAAAACUUUCUGCAAUAUUUAUAGAAUUAUACGGAGCAGUUAGGGCUCGGUUUUAUUUUCUUUUGUUGAACUGGAUUUCUAAUCUAGCCCACCAAAAUAGAGGAGAUCCAGUCCAGCAAUAAAAAAAUCUCGCUUGUUGGGUUUGCUGUUGCAGUAUCGAGAGCAAGACUGUCCGACCCGAGAUCCGACCUGUUCCGCACCUUAUUCCUCCAGCACGGAGACCGCUCUGCUUGGGAUCCGUCUCGUUCUCAUACAAACCUAUCAGAAAUUGAAUUUAUAAUCUAGUAUAAAUUUUUAUCUUCAUAAAAUAACUUGAAUUAUCGUUUUUAGAAAAUUUAGUGAUGGUAUUCGAUCAUGCCAGAGUGCUCUGCUUCU
RNAcentral lists this long non-coding RNA (1661 nucleotides) under Zostera marina. RNAcentral describes it as "long non-coding RNA (ZMAR_LNC000313)". The record is from RNAcentral. Lineage: Eukaryota; Viridiplantae; Streptophyta; Magnoliopsida; Alismatales; Zosteraceae.